GCGGGAUUAGUUCAAUGGUAGAACGAAAGCUUCCCAAGCUUUAGGCACGGGUCCGAUUCCCGUAUCCCGCUCCA
Molecule: transfer RNA, 74 nt
Filed under: Alphaproteobacteria bacterium
Lineage: Bacteria; Pseudomonadati; Pseudomonadota; Alphaproteobacteria
Description: tRNA-Gly
Rfam family: tRNA
About the family: Transfer RNA (tRNA) molecules are approximately 80 nucleotides in length. Their secondary structure includes four short double-helical elements and three loops (D, anti-codon, and T loops).
Source: RNAcentral